UAAAGUUAGAGAAAGGAAUCGACAUACUUAGCGAUUUUUCUAUCUGUAAAGGGGCAUAACUCAAGAACAGUAAAAGUGACGCCAACUCAUUUCGAACUUGAUCUGUGUUAUGUAAUAAUAAGCAUUGUGUAUAAAUUGUAUAACAUUUGAAUGAGGCAAACUAAAGUUAGUGAAUGGAAACGAAAACUUCAGCAAUUGUUAUGCUUAUAAAGCGGCAUUACUCAUGAACGGGAAAAGUAAAACUACACAGUUUCAAUGUUGAUCAGUGUUUUGUGGUAAUUAUGUGGUUGAAGCAAACUAAAGUUACAAAACGGAAACCAAUUUUGUGAGGCAAGGACAAGUGGGACGGUUAAGAAUGUACUUGGCUGAGAUUUUGGAAUCUGUGUCAAAAUUUUUUAAUGUUCGGACUCCAUGGUGUUUUUCCAUACAAUACAAAGUAAAAUAUUU
RNAcentral lists this long non-coding RNA (447 nucleotides) under Mytilus galloprovincialis (Mediterranean mussel). The record is from RNAcentral. Lineage: Eukaryota; Metazoa; Mollusca; Bivalvia; Mytilida; Mytilidae.